UCCGCUUGAUCCUGCCGGACCCGACUGCUAUCAGAAUAGGACUAAGCCAUGCGAGUCAACGUAGUAAUACGUGGCAUACGGCUCAGUAACACGUAGUCAACAUGCCCAGAGGACGUGGAUAACCUCGAGAAACUGAGGAUAAACCGCGAUAGGUCAUAAUAUCUGGAAUGAUUUAUGGCUUAAAUCUAUAUGGCCCCUGGAUUGGACUGCGGCCGAUCAGGCUGUUGGUGAGGUAAUGGCCCACCAAACCUGUAACCGGUACGGGCUCUGAGAGGAGGAGCCCGGAGAUGGGCACUGAGACAAGGGCCCAGGCCCUAUGGGGCGCAGCAGGCGCGAAACCUCUGCAAUAGGCGAAAGCUUGACAGGGUUACUCUGAGUGAUUUCCGUUAAGGAGAUCUUUUGGCACCUCUAAAAAUGGUGCAGAAUAAGGGGUGGGCAAGUCUGGUGUCAGCCGCCGCGGUAAUACCAGCACCCCGAGUGGUCGGGACGUUUAUUGGGCCUAAAGCAUCCGUAGCCGGUUCUACAAGUCUUCCGUUAAAUCCACCUGCUUAACAGAUGGGCUGCGGAAGAUACUAUAGAGCUAGGAGGCGGGAGAGGCAAGCGGUACUCGAUGGGUAGGGGUAAAAUCCGUUGAUCCAUUGAAGACCACCAGUGGCGAAGGCGGCUUGCCAGAACGCGCUCGACGGUGAGGGAUGAAAGCUGGGGGAGCAAACCGGAUUAGAUACCCGGGUAGUCCCAGCUGUAAACGAUGCAGACUCGGUGAUGAGUUGGCUUAUUGCUAACUCAGUGCCGCAGGGAAGCCGUUAAGUUUGCCGCCUGGGGAGUACGG
This 829-nucleotide ribosomal RNA is filed under the name uncultured archaeon. RNAcentral's name for it is "bacterial SSU rRNA". It matches the Rfam family "Archaeal small subunit ribosomal RNA", at positions 1 to 840 of the family's 1478-position model. The record is from RNAcentral.